UACGUAGGUGACAAGCGUUGUCCGGAUUUACUGGGCGUAAAGAGCGCGCAGGCGGUCGAUCAAGUCGAGUGUGAAAGCCCCCGGCUCAACUGGGGAGGGUCAUUCGAUACUGAUCGACUCGAAGGCAGGAGAGGGUAGUGGAAUUCCCGGUGUAGUGGUGAAAUGCGUAGAUAUCGGGAGGAACACCAGUGGCGAAGGCGACUACCUGGCCUGUUCUUGACGCUGUGGCGCGAAAGCUAGGGGAGCAAACGGG
This 253-nucleotide ribosomal RNA is filed under the name uncultured bacterium. RNAcentral's name for it is "partial 16S ribosomal RNA". It matches the Rfam family "Bacterial small subunit ribosomal RNA", at positions 524 to 776 of the family's 1533-position model. The record is from RNAcentral.